UACGUAGGGUGCAAGCGUUGUCCGGAAUUAUUGGGCGUAAAGAGCUCGUAGGCGGUCUGUCGCGUCGGCUGUGAAAACCCGGGGCUCAACCCCGGGCCUGCAGUCGAUACGGGCAGACUAGAGUGCGGUAGGGGAGACUGGAAUUCCUGGUGUAGCGGCGAAAUGCGCAGAUAUCAGGAGGAACACCGGUGGCGAAGGCGGGUCUCUGGGCCGUAACUGACGCUGAGGAGCGAAAGCGUGGGGAGCGAACAGG
Molecule: ribosomal RNA, 253 nt
Filed under: uncultured bacterium
Lineage: Bacteria
Description: partial 16S ribosomal RNA
Rfam family: Bacterial small subunit ribosomal RNA
Source: RNAcentral